Molecule: ribosomal RNA, 374 nt
Filed under: uncultured organism
Description: bacterial SSU rRNA
Rfam family: Bacterial small subunit ribosomal RNA
Source: RNAcentral
CGGGGGGAGCAAGCGUUGUUCGGAUUUACUGGGCGUAAAGGGCGCGUAGGCGGCCACCGCAAGUCGACUGUGAAAUCUCUGGGCUUAACCCAGAACGGUCAGCCGAUACUGCGGGGCUAGAGUGCAGAAGGGGCAACUGGAAUUCUCGGUGUAGCGGUGAAAUGCGUAGAUAUCGAGAGGAACACCUGCGGCGAAGGCGGGUUGCUGGGCUGACACUGACGCUGAGGCGCGAAAGCUAGGGGAGCGAAUGGGAUUAGAUACCCCGGUAGUCCUAGCCUUAAACGAUGAAUGCUUGGUGUCUGGGGUUUUAUAGUCCCCGGGUGCCGUCGCUAACGCUUUAAGCAUUCCGCCUGGGGAGUACGGUCGCAAGACUG